Molecule: ribosomal RNA, 472 nt
Filed under: uncultured bacterium
Lineage: Bacteria
Description: partial 16S ribosomal RNA
Rfam family: Bacterial small subunit ribosomal RNA
Source: RNAcentral
GACGAACGCUGGCGGCGUGCUUAACACAUGCAAGUCGAGCGGAAAGGCCCUUCGGGGUACUCGAGCGGCGAACGGGUGCGUAACACGUGAGUAAUCUGCCCUUGGCUUUGGGAUAACUACCGGAAACGGUGGCUAAUACCGGAUACGACAACCGUCUGCAUGGGCUGGUUGUGGAAAGUUUUUUCGGCCAGGGAUGUGCUCGCCGCCUAUCAGCUUGGUGGUGUGGUAAUGGCCUACCAAGGCUUCGACGGGUAGGCGGCCUGGGCGGGUGACCGGCCACACUGGGACUGAGACACGGCCCAGACGCCUACGGGAGGCAGCAGUGGGGAAUAUUGGACAAUGGGCGGAAGCCUGAUCCAGCAACGCCGCGUGAGGGAUGACGGCCAUCGGGUUGUAAACGUCGUUCAGUACCGACGAAGCGCCGAUGAUGGUGGUGACGGUAGGUACAGAAGAAGCACCGGCCAACUACGUG